GACGAACGCUGGCGGCGUGCUUAACACAUGCAAGUCGAACGGAAAGGCCCUGCUUUUGUUGGGUGCUCGAGUGGCGAACGGGUGAGUAACACGUGAGUAACCUGCCCUUGACUUUGGGAUAACUUCAGGAAACUGGGGCUAAUACCGGAUAGGAGCUCCUGCUGCAUGGUGGGGGUUGGAAAGUUUCGGCGGUUGUGGAUGGACUCGCGGCUUAUCCGCUUGUUGGUGGGGUAGUGGCUUACCAAGGCUGUGAGGGGUAGCCGGCCUGAGAGGGUGACCGGCCACAUUGGGACUGAGAUACGGACCAGACGGCUACGGGAGGCAGCAGUGGGGAAUAUGGCAGAAUGGGGGGAAGUCUGAUGCAGAAACGCCGCGUGCGGGAUGCCGUCCUUCGGGUUGUAAACCGCUGUCGCCUGUGACGAAGCGUGAGUGACGGUAAUGGGUAAAGAAGCACCGGCUAACUACGUG
RNAcentral lists this ribosomal RNA (468 nucleotides) under uncultured bacterium. Its description in RNAcentral is "partial 16S ribosomal RNA". It matches the Rfam family "Bacterial small subunit ribosomal RNA", at positions 28 to 507 of the family's 1533-position model. The record is from RNAcentral.